CGUCGCAUCUCAAAAAAAAAAAAAAAAAAAAAAAAAAAAAAAGAACCAGGGCUUGGCACGUCCGGAGGUCCGACGGCUGCGACGCGUCAGGGCGCCCAGCGCUUCCCGGGAGCAGGGGCAGAAAGCCGGCGCGCUCCCUCCGCUCCUCGCCGCUGGGCUGACGCAACGCCCCGGCGCGCGACGGCCGCAGCCUCGCACACGAGCGUGAACCUCGACGCGGGGAGACGGUGCCAUUCACCGUUGUCAAUAUGGUGCAUAAAGAUGGGAACCAUUGACAAAACUCAAAUACCUCCUCAGAAAAACCUGCCUUGUGACCCUGUUCAUUCAAAAGGGAGAGAGUUCUUGAGUAAGUAUUCCCUGGAAAGGGAAUUUUGCAGGUGGAAGCUGCCUCCCACAGCCCUAACAAAGCUGUUUCAUUCAGUAUGUUUCACAUCGGAUUUGUGCUGCUGUCAAAGAGAAGCCAUUAUCUGAUUUGAAACAGGGAUGCUUGGCAAGACGUUUCGGGCAAUCCGGAUGGAUAUGUGUUUGCUUUUGCCCUACUUUCAUUCUACUCAGAAUUCGGAAUGAUAACCAUCUCACAGGUAGUGUGUUUCCAUUGUGUUAAAAAUGCCAUUGUAAAGUUACUUUCUAUUGUAACUUAUUAAAUAGUUAAUUGAUAUCAUGUAAUAAAAAGGAGCAAAAAACCCUCUGGUCCCUCUCA
This 700-nucleotide long non-coding RNA is filed under the name Struthio camelus australis. Its description in RNAcentral is "lncRNA (ENSSCUG00000010681.1)". The record is from RNAcentral. Lineage: Eukaryota; Metazoa; Chordata; Aves; Struthioniformes; Struthionidae.